UACGAAGGGGGCGAGCGUUGUUCGGAAUUACUGGGCGUAAAGGGCGCGCAGGCGGCCUUAGAAGUCAGAUGUGAAAGCCCCGGGCUCAACCUGGGAAUGGCAUUUGAUACUCUGAGGCUGGAGUACGGGAGAGGAGAGUGGAAUUCCCAGUGUAGAGGUGAAAUUCGUAGAUAUUGGGAAGAACACCGGUGGCGAAGGCGGCUCUCUGGACCGUAACUGACGCUGAGGCGCGAAAGCGUGGGGAGCGAACGGG
RNAcentral lists this ribosomal RNA (253 nucleotides) under uncultured bacterium. Its description in RNAcentral is "partial 16S ribosomal RNA". It matches the Rfam family "Bacterial small subunit ribosomal RNA", at positions 524 to 776 of the family's 1533-position model. The record is from RNAcentral.